Canis lupus familiaris (dog) is the source of this 1703-nucleotide long non-coding RNA. RefSeq lists it as uncharacterized. Lineage: Eukaryota; Metazoa; Chordata; Mammalia; Carnivora; Canidae. The record is from RefSeq and is a predicted model, not a curated record. The transcript has 3 exons.
GUCAAAGCUGUGGGAAGGCCGGGGCGAGCGCAGCCCCCGGGCUCAGGGCCGGGGUCGCCGGGUUCCUGCCUCCCCGCUCGGGGGCCCCGGCCUCCCCGCUCGCCCACACCCGCCCUCGCACAGGUAGGAUGUGUUUGUGGGCAGAUCCUCGGUUCGAAGCCAAACCGAAGCCGUCCGUGCUGGGCGUCCCGACGCGGCCUCCUCGAAGCCUCUGCGGGAGUGCGCGCCGCGGCCUUCCGCCUGCAUCCAUCCCCCUCUGGGCGGAUCGUAGCCUCCCCUUCUUCAGACCCCACCGGCUUUAGGGAUUGCGGUGGUGGCGGAGCCGGGGCCAUCUCGACUGUCUGGAUUUGGAGUCGCGCCCGGGCCCCCCAGCAAGAGCGCGCCCCCCGGCUCGCGGGCUCGGGCGCUGGCCUUUGUGGCCUCGAACUCGCACAGGCCUUGCACACAGCACAUUUGCAUUUUCCCAAAGUCUACCAUCGUGGAAGGUUCUGGAGUUUCAUCAAGGCUUACACUUAAAGGGACUUUCUCUCUAGGUAAAUUUUGUGCGGGCACUUGCCGUUCCGGCUCCUGCCCUCCCGCCGCCCUGCCCAGGCCCACCGAGGCUGGCGCCCCGACGGCCCCACGCGCGCCGCACAUCGUCUGUUUCCUUGGAACCGGCUACUAACCGGCUAGACUGGCUCCUGCUGAGCAAGAGGUCUCAGAUACCUGAACUCGAAAAUUCCUGGGAUGCUGAUAUGUCAUUUGUCGAUGGAAAUGAAGUUUUUAAGUGACCUGGCCUGGAUAGAGGGACUUAACAGCGCCGAGGAAAUGGUGGUUGCUUUACAGUCAAGACAAAGUGAGGUUGUGAGGGAUUCACGUGGCUGGGAGUUGGAAGACGAGAAAAUCUGGGUCUUCAUUCGGUUUCAUUGUGCCUCUCUGUGCCACCUUGCAGAAAUUACAGCGUCACCUUCCGCCUCAGUUCCUUGGUCUUCCAAAUGGAGAAAGUGUGGUUUCUAAGACCCUUUCCACGCUAAUGUUCUAGGAUGCUAAAAGGACACAUUGUGUUCAGUAUUUCUUGAGAAGAAACACAGAGCUGGGAGAUGAUACUGGAGAAGUUCCCCAGGAAGAGAAUCAGGAGUUGGCAGAGGAGUCUAUGAGGUCAUGCUUCUAGCAUCCAGGUGUAUCAUGGGAGACAAAUCAUUGCACAAAUACCCCCUGGACCUCACUCAUCUGUACCAGGAAUUAUACUACUCCUUUUUUUCCAUUGACCAUUAGCACACAGGUAGCCACAAUGAGUGGCCAGGACUUGUGUGGGAGCCACCAGGAAGGAUCUCUCUCUUUUUUUUGUUCUCUGCACUUCAACAUGGAGAGAUGUAAACUGCCACCACACAGCAAGAGUCUGCUGGAGAAUAGAGCCAACACAGAGGAAGUAGAUCCAAGAGAUGGAGAAGGAGAAAUUGGGUGCUGAAGACAUUUGAGCCUGGAUCAAGCUAUUCUUGGAGCUAAACCUAUCACCAGAUUCUCAAGUUAUCUUUCAUCACUUUUUACCUGGAUUUCGGUGACAGCUACCUACAACAACGUUGUCUCCUGCCACCAGCUGCUUCCUUGCUCUGGUCUGGUUCUCCUCCCUUACAUCGCAUCACCAUGCCUAUCUUUCUAAAGAGUGCUGGCCCAUGACCAGUGCUCCACCAGUACCUCUAGUAAAAAAGCGUUCUUUUCACCUG